GACAGAGGGUGCAAACGUUGUUCGGAAUUACUGGGCGUAAAGCGCGUGUAGGCAGCUUCGCAAGUCGGGUGUGAAAGCCCUGGGCUCAACCUAGGAAGUGCACUCGAAACUGCGGAGCUUGAGUCUCGGAGAGGGUCGCGGAAUUCUCGGUGUAGAGGUGAAAUUCGUAGAUAUCGAGAGGAACACCGGUGGCGAAGGCGGCGACCUGGACGAUGACUGACGCUGAGACGCGAAAGCUAGGGGAGCGAACAGG
RNAcentral lists this ribosomal RNA (253 nucleotides) under uncultured bacterium. Its description in RNAcentral is "partial 16S ribosomal RNA". It matches the Rfam family "Bacterial small subunit ribosomal RNA", at positions 524 to 776 of the family's 1533-position model. The record is from RNAcentral.